GAUGAACGCUGGCGGCGUGCCUAAUACAUGCAAGUCGAGCGAACAGACGAGGAGCUUGCUCCUCUGACGUUAGCGGCGGACGGGUGAGUAACACGUGGAUAACCUACCUAUAAGACUGGGAUAACUUCGGGAAACCGGAGCUAAUACCGGAUAAUAUAUUGAACCGCAUGGUUCAAUAGUGAAAGACGGUUUUGCUGUCACUUAUAGAUGGAUCCGCGCCGCAUUAGCUAGUUGGUAAGGUAACGGCUUACCAAGGCAACGAUGCGUAGCCGACCUGAGAGGGUGAUCGGCCACACUGGAACUGAGACACGGUCCAGACUCCUACGGGAGGCAGCAGUAGGGAAUCUUCCGCAAUGGGCGAAAGCCUGACGGAGCAACGCCGCGUGAGUGAUGAAGGUCUUCGGAUCGUAAAACGCUGUUAUUAGGGAAGAACAAAUGUGUAAGUAACGAUGCACGUCUUGACGGUACCGAAGCAGAAAGCCACGGCUAACUACGU
Molecule: ribosomal RNA, 496 nt
Filed under: uncultured bacterium
Lineage: Bacteria
Description: partial 16S ribosomal RNA
Rfam family: Bacterial small subunit ribosomal RNA
Source: RNAcentral